GCCGCGUGAGUGAAGAAGGCCUUCGGGUUGUAAAGCUCUUUCGGCCGGGAAGAAAUCGUGGUCUCUAACAUAGGCCAUGGAUGACGGUACCGGACUAAGAAGCACCGGCUAACUACGUGCCAGCAGCCGCGGUAAUACGUAGGGUGCGAGCGUUAAUCGGAAUUACUGGGCGUAAAGCGUGCGCAGGCGGUUUUGUAAGACAGAUGUGAAAUCCCCGGGCUUAACCUGGGAACUGCGUUUGUGACUGCAAGGCUAGAGUACGGCAGAGGGGGGUGGAAUUCCUGGUGUAGCAGUGAAAUGCGUAGAGAUCAGGAGGAACACCGAUGGCGAAGGCAGCCCCCUGGGCCUGUACUGACGCUCAUGCACGAAAGCGUGGGGAGCAAACAGGAUUAGAUACCCUGGUAGUCCACGCCCUAAAACGAUGUCGACUAGUCGUUCGGAGCAGCAAUGCACUGAGUGACGCAGCUAACGCGUGAAGUCGACCGCCUGGGGAGUACGGCCGCAAGGUUAAAAACUCAAAGGAAUUGACGGG
This 532-nucleotide ribosomal RNA is filed under the name uncultured bacterium. Its description in RNAcentral is "bacterial SSU rRNA". It matches the Rfam family "Bacterial small subunit ribosomal RNA", at positions 396 to 917 of the family's 1533-position model. The record is from RNAcentral.